AGAGUUUGAUCCUGGCUCAGGAUGAACGCUAGCGGCAGGCUUAACACAUGCAAGUCGAGGGGCAGCGGGAAGGAAGCUUGCUUUCUCCGCCGGCGACCGGCGCACGGGUGAGUAACACGUAUGCAACCUGCCCCUGUCAGGGGGACAACCCGCCGAAAGGCGGGCUAAACCCGCGUACAUGCCACCGGGGCAUCCCGGAGGCAGGAAAGGCUUCGGCCGGACAGGGAUGGGCAUGCGGCGCAUUAGGCAGUAGGCGGGGUAACGGCCCACCUAACCGACGAUGCGUAGGGGUUCUGAGAGGAAGGUCCCCCACACUGGUACUGAGACACGGACCAGACUCCUACGGGAGGCAGCAGUGAGGAAUAUUGGUCAAUGGUCGGGAGACUGAACCAGCCAAGCCGCGUGAGGGAGGAAGGUACAGAGUAUCGUAAACCUCUUUUGUCAGGGAACAAAGGCGGGGACGUGUCCCCGGAUGAGUGUACCUGAAGAAAAAGCAUCGGCUAACUCCGUGCCAGCAGCCGCGGUAAUACGGAGGAUGCGAGCGUUAUCCGGAUUUAUUGGGUUUAAAGGGUGCGCAGGCGGUCUGUUAAGUCAGCGGUCAAAGCCCGGGGCUCAACCCCGGCCCGCCGUUGAAACUGGCAGUCUCGAGUUGGAGAGAAGUAUGCGGAAUGCGCGGUGUAGCGGUGAAAUGCAUAGAUAUCGCGCAGAACUCCGAUUGCGAAGGCAGCAUGCCGGCUCCACACUGACGCUGAGGCACGAAAGCGUGGGUAUCGAACAGGAUUAGAUACCCUGGUAGUCCACGCAGUAAACGAUGAAUGCUGGCUGUCCGGGGGGAUUGACCCCUGGGUGGCGAAGCGAAAGCGAUAAGCAUUCCACCUGGGGAGUACGCCGGCAACGGUGAAACUCAAAGGAAUUGACGGGGGCCCGCACAAGCGGAGGAACAUGUGGUUUAAUUCGAUGAUACGCGAGGAACCUUACCCGGGCUCAAACGGGGAGUGACUCAGGCAGAGACGCCUGUUUCCCACGGGACACUCCCCGAGGUGCUGCAUGGUUGUCGUCAGCUCGUGCCGUGAGGUGUCGGCUUAAGUGCCAUAACGAGCGCAACCCCCGCGUGCAGUUGCUAACAGUCAACGCUGAGGACUCUGCACGGACUGCCGGCGCAAGCCGCGAGGAAGGCGGGGAUGACGUCAAAUCAGCACGGCCCUUACGUCCGGGGCGACACACGUGUUACAAUGGGUGGUACAGCGGGAAGCCAGGCGGCGACGCCGAGCGGAACCCGAAAUCCACUCUCAGUUCGGAUCGGAGUCUGCAACCCGACUCCGUGAAGCUGGAUUCGCUAGUAAUCGCGCAUCAGCCAUGGCGCGGUGAAUACGUUCCCGGGCCUUGCACUCACCGCCCGUCA
This 1402-nucleotide ribosomal RNA is filed under the name uncultured bacterium. Its description in RNAcentral is "16S ribosomal RNA". It matches the Rfam family "Bacterial small subunit ribosomal RNA". The record is from RNAcentral.